RNAcentral lists this ribosomal RNA (484 nucleotides) under uncultured bacterium. RNAcentral's name for it is "partial 16S ribosomal RNA". It matches the Rfam family "Bacterial small subunit ribosomal RNA", at positions 30 to 507 of the family's 1533-position model. The record is from RNAcentral.
AUUGAACGCUGGCGGCAGGCCUAACACAUGCAAGUCGAGCGGAUGAAGGGAGCUUGCGCCUGGAUUCAGCGGCGGACGGGUGAGUAAUGCCUAGGAAUCUGCCUGGUAGUGGGGGAUAACGUCCGGAAACGGGCGCUAAUACCGCAUACGUCCUGAGGGAGAAAGUGGGGGAUCUUCGGACCUCACGCUAUCAGAUGAGCCUAGGUCGGAUUAGCUAGUUGGUGGGGUAAAGGCCUACCAAGGCGACGAUCCGUAACUGGUCUGAGAGGAUGAUCAGUCACACUGGAACUGAGACACGGUCCAGACUCCUACGGGAGGCAGCAGUGGGGAAUAUUGGACGAUGGGCGAAAGCCUGAUCCAGCCAUGCCGCGUGUGUGAAGAAGGUCUUCGGAUUGUAAAGCACUUUAAGUUGGGAGGAAGGGCAGUAAGUUAAUACCUUGCUGUUUUGACGUUACCAACAGAAUAAGCACCGGCUAACUUCGUG